UACGAAGGGGGCUAGCGUUGUUCGGAAUUACUGGGCGUAAAGGGCGCGUAGGCGGUCCUGAUCGUCGGAUGUGAAAGGCCUGGGCUCAACCUGGGAAUGGCAUCCGAUACGGCGGGACUGGAGUGUGGGAGAGGUUGGUGGAAUUCCCAGUGUAGAGGUGAAAUUCGUAGAUAUUGGGAAGAACACCGGUGGCGAAGGCGGCCAACUGGACCACAACUGACGCUGAGGCGCGAAAGCGUGGGGAGAAAACAGG
This 253-nucleotide ribosomal RNA is filed under the name uncultured bacterium. Its description in RNAcentral is "partial 16S ribosomal RNA". It matches the Rfam family "Bacterial small subunit ribosomal RNA", at positions 524 to 776 of the family's 1533-position model. The record is from RNAcentral.